This 470-nucleotide ribosomal RNA is filed under the name uncultured Pseudomonadota bacterium. RNAcentral's name for it is "bacterial SSU rRNA". It matches the Rfam family "Bacterial small subunit ribosomal RNA", at positions 8 to 522 of the family's 1533-position model. The record is from RNAcentral. Lineage: Bacteria; Pseudomonadati; Pseudomonadota.
AGAGUUUGAUCAUGGCUCAGAACGAACGCUGGCGGCAGGCUUAACACAUGCAAGUCGAACGCGUGUAGCAAUACACGAGUGGCGCACGGGUGAGUAACGCGUGGAUAUCUGCCUUUUGGUUCGGAAUAACCCCGGGAAACUGGGGCUAAUACCGGAUGGUUCCUUCGGGAUAAAGAUUUAUCGCCAAAAGAUGAGUCCGCGUCCGAUUAGCUAGUUGGUGAGGUAAUGGCUCACCAAGGCGACGAUCGGUAGCUGGUCUGAGAGGACGAUCAGCCACACUGGGACUGAGACACGGCCCAGACUCCUACGGGAGGCAGCAGUGGGGAAUAUUGGACAAUGGGGGCAACCCUGAUCCAGCCAUGCCGCGUGAGUGAUGAAGGCCUUCGGGUUGUAAAGCUCUUUUGGCGGGGACGAUGAUGACGGUACCCGCAGAAUAAGCCCCGGCUAACUUCGUGCCAGCAGCCGCGGUA